GCUGAGAAACGGCUACCACAUCCAAGGAAGGCAGCAGGCGCGCAAAUUACCCAAUCCCGACACGGGGAGGUAGUGACAAUAAAUACUGAUACAGGGGCUCUUUUGGGGUCUUGUAAUUGGAAUGAGUACAAUUUAAACCUCUUAACGAGGAACAAUUGGAGGGCAAGUCUGGUGCCAGCAGCCGCGGUAAUUCCAGCUCCAAUAGCGUAUAUUAAAGUUGUUGCAGUUAAAAAGCUCGUAGUUGAAACUUGGGCCUGGCUGGCGGGUCCGCCUCACCGCGUGCACUCGUCCGGCCGGGCCUUCCUUCUGAAGAACCUCAUGCCCUUCACUGGGCGUGCUGGGGAAUCAGGACUUUUACUUUGAAAAAAUUAGAGUGUUCAAAGCAGGCCUUUGCUCGAAUACGUUAGCAUGGAAUAAUAAAAUAGGGCGUGCGUUUCUAUUUUGUUGGUUUCUAGAGACGCCGCAAUGAUUAACAGGAACAGUCGGGGGCAUCAGUAUUCAGUUGUCAGAGGUGAAAUUCUUGGAUUUACUGAAGACUAACUACUGCGAAAGCAUUUGC
This 559-nucleotide ribosomal RNA is filed under the name Alternaria sp. RNAcentral's name for it is "SSU rRNA". It matches the Rfam family "Eukaryotic small subunit ribosomal RNA", at positions 394 to 958 of the family's 1831-position model. The record is from RNAcentral. Lineage: Eukaryota; Fungi; Ascomycota; Dothideomycetes; Pleosporales; Pleosporaceae.